Molecule: long non-coding RNA, 110 nt
Organism: Sapajus apella (tufted capuchin)
Lineage: Eukaryota; Metazoa; Chordata; Mammalia; Primates; Cebidae
Exons: 2
Source: RefSeq, a predicted model, not a curated record
AAUUGGGGUACACAGAGAAUCGGGGUGUGCAAAGAAUCAGGGUGUGGAAAGAAUUGGGGGUGUGUAAAGAUUCGGGGUGUGCAAAGAAUCGGGAUAUGAAUCAGAGUACA